ACAUAGGGCACAAUUGGAGGCGCCACGCGAAAGGAGGGAUCCAGCGCGCAAUAUACCCAUUCAAACAAAAAGGGCGCAGAUCCAACUCCUUUAUCGGGCCAACGCGCGGACCUCAAUGGGUGUAAACGGUGCCGCUUUGUUUAAUAGGUUAUUCAAAACCUUUCUUUUCCCAUUUAUUUUCCAAACACAGCCAACAAUUAAACUAAAAGUCACUGCCCUAAAAUCAAUUCUUUAGGGUUCAUUCCAGCAGCCUCCAUUUGCUAAGGCCCGUUCAUCACCAGUUCACCAUUAAAAUUGGUGAGUGAUGUAGAAGCAGCCUUUACUUCCUCCGAAAUCAACAUUCAAAGCCCAUUCUCACUUGAUAAUUCGCAUUGCUAACCCCGAUUUCAACGGAGAAGCCAAGGGAUCUCAUCGAUACAUUUAACGAAGGAUCAUCCGUACGGAGGAGCGGGGAGAGGCACGCGUGAAAGAAGCCGUGCGAAGAAACCGCUCGUGAGACCCGACCCCCUAGCACUGUUCUAGCAUGUUCCAGAAGCUUCUGGUGCUUGGUUGCUGGGAUUCCUUUUGAGUUUGGGCUGUUCGGGCUAGGGAUUUUAGUAUAGCCCUCUUGGACUAUGUGAUUAGGUUAGGUCUGUAUUAAGGGGUUAAGGUUUAGGUUAUUUUUGGCCCAAAUAUUUGUAACCGGACACUGGAAUUUGGAUUUUUUAUUUGUGUGUUUUUUUUUAUUUUUGGUUUUUAAUUUCUAUUUUUUUAUUCUAAUGGGCCCGGGCUAAAUGGACCUAUUACAAGGGAGAAUUGUAACUGUCCAUUUUUUAGUGAUAUCAAAAAUAGUGAUUUCAGAA
This is a long non-coding RNA of Gossypium arboreum, 842 nucleotides long. RefSeq lists it as uncharacterized. The record is from RefSeq and is a predicted model, not a curated record. NCBI's taxonomy places the organism in Eukaryota, Viridiplantae, Streptophyta, Magnoliopsida, Malvales, Malvaceae. The transcript has 2 exons.